CUCCCCCCACUCCACCCCCCCCCUCCCCGCCCGUCAAGCCUUUGGCAUCAUUAUCCUCAUCACUAAAUCCUACAGAGUACAGGGCGGAAAACGGUGCACAC
Molecule: non-coding RNA, 101 nt
Organism: Pongo abelii (Sumatran orangutan)
Lineage: Eukaryota; Metazoa; Chordata; Mammalia; Primates; Hominidae
Source: Rfam